This 668-nucleotide ribosomal RNA is filed under the name Alcaligenes faecalis. Its description in RNAcentral is "bacterial SSU rRNA". It matches the Rfam family "Bacterial small subunit ribosomal RNA", at positions 786 to 1460 of the family's 1533-position model. The record is from RNAcentral. Lineage: Bacteria; Pseudomonadati; Pseudomonadota; Betaproteobacteria; Burkholderiales; Alcaligenaceae.
CCUGGUAGUCCACGCCCUAAACGAUGUCAACUAGCUGUUGGGGCCGUUAGGCCUUAGUAGCGCAGCUAACGCGUGAAGUUGACCGCCUGGGGAGUACGGUCGCAAGAUUAAAACUCAAAGGAAUUGACGGGGACCCGCACAAGCGGUGGAUGAUGUGGAUUAAUUCGAUGCAACGCGAAAAACCUUACCUACCCUUGACAUGUCUGGAAAGCCGAAGAGAUUUGGCCGUGCUCGCAAGAGAACCGGAACACAGGUGCUGCAUGGCUGUCGUCAGCUCGUGUCGUGAGAUGUUGGGUUAAGUCCCGCAACGAGCGCAACCCUUGUCAUUAGUUGCUACGCAAGAGCACUCUAAUGAGACUGCCGGUGACAAACCGGAGGAAGGUGGGGAUGACGUCAAGUCCUCAUGGCCCUUAUGGGUAGGGCUUCACACGUCAUACAAUGGUCGGGACAGAGGGUCGCCAACCCGCGAGGGGGAGCCAAUUUCAGAAACCCGAUCGUAGUCCGGAUCGCAGUCUGCAACUCGACUGCGUGAAGUUGGAAUCGCUGUAAUCGCGGAUCAGAAUGUCGCGGUGAAUACGUUCCCGGGUCUUAUACACACCGCCCGUCACACCAUGGGAGUGGGUUUCACCAGAAGUAGGUAGCCUAACCGUAAGGAGGGCGCUUACCAC